Long non-coding RNA from Acipenser ruthenus (sterlet), 2268 nucleotides. RefSeq lists it as uncharacterized. The record is from RefSeq and is a predicted model, not a curated record. The transcript is spliced from 3 exons. Lineage: Eukaryota; Metazoa; Chordata; Actinopteri; Acipenseriformes; Acipenseridae.
UGUAUGUUCUUGUCUCUUGACAGGUCUGUGAGGAUGAGAAGGUCUCCACAGUCUGGAGUCUGGUCUCUGACAGGCUCAACAUACCUGUCAAUCAACAGGGACUCCUCUACAAAGGCAAGGCGCUGGCAGGUAGGCUGAACAGCACAGCACAGCACAGCUCACCCCUCCUCUCACCCCUCGCCUCACCCCUCCUCUCACUCCUCGCCUCACCCCGGGUCAGUGUGGCACAGCCUGCCUGCUCUUCUGAACAAACACUUCAGCCCUGCCGACGCAAUGAGAGUCUGGAGCAGCAACACGAGGUAACCUGAACACAAACACACACACUGCUAUACACACACACACACAGACACACACAAACACACACACAGUGAGAGGCUGGAGCAGCUACACAAGGUAAAUUGAACACAAUAAACACGGCUACACACACAAUCCUAGCUGCAGUAGAUGUACAAUGUUAUACAGACACACACAGACACAGCUGUACAGUGACACAGAGACGCACACACAAUCACAGCUGUAGCAUACACACUCUGAAAUGCAGGUGUAGAGCAGCGUGUAGUUGUGACUCUGUGUCUCUCUCCUCCCCCUCUCCUCUCCUCUCCUUACUUUGUUUAAAAGAAUAGAAGCACACCCAGUGAGCAAGGCAUUGAGCAGCCCCACAUCCCGCUUCACAAUACCGCUACAUAUUGACUGACUGUUCGCAUUGUGUGUGUUUGGUAAGACAAACCACAUUUUCUACUUCUACUUUCUACGAUUGGGCAAGUCAGCGGUUGUUUGAUAACAGAACAUAAAACAUCACAGAGUGGGUUGAACUGCAUUGCUGCAAAUCAAGGUCCUUUAAAAUGUGUACCUUCCCAGCUCAGGUAUUGCUGAGGUAAAGAGACACUUCCUACAGGAGGACAGGACGUUGUCAAGGAGGGGAUGUCGUCACGUGUCCUGAGGGCUUUCUUAAAAACAUUGUUUUAUUAUUUCUAAGCGUACGUUGUUACUGCCUUUUAGCUCUUGAGCAUAAUAAUCUCAAUCCCGUUUGAAAUGACACUAAGUGCAUUUGCAUGGUGGCAGAUGAGGGAUGUCGCUUCACUCGAGGCGUGCGUACUGAUGAAGAUGUAGUUUCAGUGUUUAAUGCUCAUCCCCUCACUGUGUGUGUGUGUGUGUGUGUGUGUGUGUCUGUGUGUGUUCUUGUCUCUCGCCUGUCCUGUGAGGAUGAAGAUGUAGUUUCAGUGUUUAAUGCUCAUCCCCUCACUGUGUGUUUGUGUGUUCUUGUCUCGACAGGUCUGUGAGGAUGAGAAGGUCUCCACAGUCUGGAGUCUGGUCUCUGACAGGCUCAACAUACCUGUCAAUCAACAGGGACUCCUCUACAAAGGCAAGGCGCUGGCAGAUGAGCACAGACUGUCACACGACUCCAUCGCUCCCGAUUCCAAGCUGAACUCGUUGUGACGCCCCCAACAGAGAAAGUGUCACCCUCGCAAGAACAGCACUCCCUGUGUCACCCCUCCUCUCAGACCUCACCCCUCACCCUCGCCUCACCCCUCCUGUCACACCUCACCCCUCGCCACACCCCUCCUCUCACACCUCACCCCUCCUCUCACCCAUCGCCUCAACCCUCCUGUCACCCCUCGCCCCUCCUCUCACCCCUCGCCUAACCCCUCCUCUCACGCCUCGCCUCACCCCGGGUCAGUGUGGCACAGCCUGCCUGCUCUUCUGAACAAACACUUCAGCCCUGCCGACGCAGUGAGAGUCUGGAGCAGCAACACAAGGAUUACGAGCGGAGGCUGCGCUUGUUGAGCCUGGAUGAUAUGGAGCGGCUGGCGACUCGCAUGCUUCACCCUGAGGCUGUGGAGUGCAUGGAGCUGUCCUUCCUGGACUGAGGAAUACUGCUGCUGCCCUCUCCACCUCUCCCUUCUCUUCUCCCCUCUCCCCUCUCUCCUCUCCUCUUUACUCUCUCCUCCCCCUCUCCUCUCCUCUCCUUACUUUGUUUAAAAGAAUAGAAGCACACCCAGUGAGCAAGGCAUUGAGCAGCCCCACAUCCCGCUUCACAAUACCGCUACAUAUUGACUGACUGUUUGCAUUGUGUGUGUUUGGUGAGACAAACCACAUUUUCUACUUUCUGCUAUUUUAAAAGGAGCCCAGUUUGGUGCAGGAGGCUUGUGGGUAACAGAGUGUGUUUUUGCUGGGGACUGCAGCCCUUCCAUUACCAUUGCUCGUAGAGGGGAGAUUGUUUUACUUUCAAGCCUUUUUCUUUAAUAAAUCCGGACGUUUGGAAAUACA